CCUUGGUUAGCUUAGUUGGUAGAGCGCUCCACCUGUAAUGGAGAGGUCCCGGGUUCGUAACCCGGACCAGGCG
Ixodes scapularis (black-legged tick) is the source of this 73-nucleotide non-coding RNA. The record is from Rfam. NCBI's taxonomy places the organism in Eukaryota, Metazoa, Arthropoda, Arachnida, Ixodida, Ixodidae.